RNAcentral lists this non-coding RNA (83 nucleotides) under Candidatus Accumulibacter aalborgensis. The record is from RNAcentral. Lineage: Bacteria; Pseudomonadati; Pseudomonadota; Betaproteobacteria.
CUCUAUGGGAGGGCCGUGCAGGGAGGGGAAACCCUCGCCGGUCCAAGCGCGGUACGCCAACCUGCACGUGCUCGCCCACCUCG